Bos taurus (domestic cattle) is the source of this 72-nucleotide non-coding RNA. Lineage: Eukaryota; Metazoa; Chordata; Mammalia; Artiodactyla; Bovidae. The record is from Rfam.
UCCCUUGUAACUCAGUCAGUAAAGAAUCUGCCUGCAAUGCAGGAGACCCAGGUUCAAUCCCUGGGUUGGGAA